This 587-nucleotide ribosomal RNA is filed under the name uncultured bacterium. RNAcentral describes it as "partial 16S ribosomal RNA". It matches the Rfam family "Bacterial small subunit ribosomal RNA", at positions 355 to 1375 of the family's 1533-position model. The record is from RNAcentral.
UGGGGAAUUUUGGACAAUGGGCGAAAGCCUGAUCCAGCCAUGCCGCGUGCAGGAUGAAGGCCUUCGGGUUGUAAACUGCUUUUGUACGGAACGAAAAGACUCUGGUUAAUACCUGGGGUCCAUGACGGUACCGUAAGAAUAAGCACCGGCUAACUACGUGCCAGCAGCCGCGGUAAUACGUAGGGUGCAAGCGUUAAUCGGAAUUACUGGGCGUAAAGCGUGCGCAGGCGGUUAUAUAAGACAGAUGUGAAAUCCCCGGGCUCAACCUGGGAACUGCAUUUGUGACUGUAUAGCUAGAGUACGGCAGAGGGGGAUGGAAUUCCGCGUGUAGCAGUGAAAUGCGUAGAUAUGCGGAGGAACACCGAUGGCGAAGGCAAUCCCCUGGGCCUGUACUGACGCUCAUGCACGAAAGCGUGGGGAGCAAAACAGGAUUAGAUACCCUGGUAGUCCACGCCCUAAACGAUGUCAACUGGUUGUUGGGUCUUCACUGACUCAGUAACGAAGCUAAACGCGUGAAGUUGACCGCCUGGGGAGUACGGCCGCAAGGUUGAAACUUAAAUGAAUUGACGGGGUCAUAGCUGUUUCCU